AGACCAUUGUAAGAAGAAUUUUUGUGAGUUUGAGUCAAACUGUCGACAAAUGCCGGGAAGUAAAAUCUCAAUAGAAUGAGAUAAAGGAGAAUGGUGUUUUGCAUCUUGUUUUAUACAUUACAAUCAAAACCAGAACAUUCUCAGCUCUGAGCUCCCCAUGCACGAGGGAUGUUGGCUUUGAGCGGGCAGGAUCUACCCGAGAGGCCUCAGAACUCGUGAGCACAUACUCGGUUCCUGUGAUUGCUUCCCGGUGAGCAGGGAGCAAUAACGUUGCAGAGGAGUGUCCGAAGUUCUGGAAGCCAGAGGUCCGAAAUCCAGAGGCUCUAGAAGGGACCUGAAACUGCUCAGCCAAGGUUUACAAUAAGCAACAUCUAACAGGUCAGAGGUCACUGUCAGCUGGGUGUGGCUGACAUCUCAGAAGCAUCUGACAUUGACCACAUCCUCUAUUUGAAGUCUGACCUUCAUCUGGCUUCUGUGCCACCAUCGCCUGUUUUCCUGACCCUCCCCUCUCCUUUGUUAACCAUCCCCUUUCAUUUUAGGGACUAUUGGUGUUCCUCACAGUUCUAAGCUCGGUGCCACACUUAAUCCUCUCUGCACAUAGUCUCGACCUCCCAAAUUGUUCCAAAUGUCAUUUCCAUGGUUAUGACUGGCAUAUGUACAUCCUUAGUCAGAAUCAUGUCUCCAAACAUGAGACCCAUAUUUCUACUGGCUACCCUAGAAUACCUCCACUGAACAUGUCCAAAAUUGAAUAUAUAUUUUUAGCCUUUCUUGCCCUUAGGCCCUGCUCUAGUUUCUGUGUUCCCUGCCCAUAUGAAAGGGCUCCGUCAUUCUUCCACUCAAGGUAGACGUGGACAUUAUCCUUGAGUCCUCAAAUAUGCAAUUAACAAAGCAAAUAAGACAGAGUCCAGUUUCUAAUGAGCUGAUUUGCUGAAGAUGCCUUCAUACCUACUGCUUUAGUCUAGUUCAGGUUUUGAUAACAAAAUACCACAAAGUGGGUAGCUUAUUAACAACAGAUUUACGAUCAUUGCUUCAGCAUGGUCAGAGGGCCUUCUGGGUCGCAGACUUCUUGUAUUCUCACUAGCUAGAAGGGAGGAGGGACCUUCGGGAGCCUUUUUUAAAAUAUGGGCAGUAAUCCCCUUUAUGAGGUCUGGGCCCUCACAACUUAAGCACCUUCCGAAGGUCCCACCUACAUCACUCCAGGCACAGGAUUUAAAAAAAUAAUUUGGGAGGACACUAACAUUCAGAUACUAGCACCUACCAUUUAAAGCAGUGGUUCUCAACCUGUGGGUCGCGACCCCUUUGGGUGUCGAACGACCCUUUCACAGGGGUCGCCUAAGGCCAUCGGAAGACACAUAUAAUUACAUAUUGUUUUUGUGAUUAAUCACUAUGCUUUAAUUAUGUUCAAUUUGUAACAAUGAAAUUGGGGGUCAGCACAACAUGAGGAACUGUAUUAAAGGGUCGCGGCAUUAGGAAGGUUGAGAACCACUGAUUUAAAGAGUAGGAAUCUAGAAAGCUGAGGCAACCUGGCUUCCUAUGCAAAAUAAAAAGAGUAAAGAAGAGUUCAGGGUCAGAGUUGAAAAUUACUCACAUGAUAAUGUUUAUGCAGUUACACAUUUAGGUUAAAGCUGUUUCCUUUUGUUUGAAAAGACUAGGCUUGGAUUGAAACCACUAGAGGUCCUUUGGGAAGUUAGAUUUAAUUCAAAAUACAAAAGAUUCAAAUUGAUGAUUUUGUCUAAAUUGUCUUCUCAUUGUCCAAUGCUAAACAGAAAAACUGUUGACAAUAUCUAGAUGAAUAUCUAACAGCUGGUGAAGUUAAAAAUUAUUUUCUGCUAUGAAGGCAAAGUAAAAGUUAAGUACCCAAAAGUAAAUGUUAAGAAAAUAAUUAAAAAUUUCAAAAAUAUUUAGUAGUUUUGAAUGAUUUUAAAUUAUAUCAGUAGUAUUUUGAAGUAUAUAAAUUUUUAUUUGAAUAUGUAAUUGGAUAAAUUACUGUUUAUUUAAGUUAAUGUAGAACAUUAAACACUCCUUGCUGGCUGGGCCCCAGGGUUAGGAGUCCCUGCAGGGUAAUAUGAAAUUGGGUGCUAGAAUAGCGCAGAACAUGGGGAGCCAGCACGCACUCACUGCUGCCUUAAGAUUCAUUGCUGGUACCCGAAACUCCAGUGACCCCAGCUUGCUUGAGCCCUGGGAGAGACCAGCAAGCCCGUGCCCCUAGAUGAGGACUUAAAACGAGGCUCACAGCCACCUGGUACCGGUACCGGGCUCUGAGCCAAGGAACCCCCAGACUCUUUCUUCCCUUGCCUCCUGUCUCCUCUGCUUCUGCCCUGACAGUGCACCUGCCUCAGCAGGCUUGGAUUUCGUGGGCGCAUGCCCCUGAGGGGGAACUGGAGCUGCUGUGGCUCGCAGACCCAGAGUUCUGCCUCCUGCCACCCCCCCUGCCAGUUCCCCAGCCAAAGCGCCCCUCCACGCUGUGGCUGUGCGCUGGGGAGGAGGAGGGAUGCGGGUUAUUGGCUCCAUCCCAGGGCGAGGUCCCCUGGUGGCCGUUCAUUGUUAAGACAAUGGGACUGAAAAUCUUCUCACCUGAUACUUGCUCUAAUCACUGAGCCACGCCAUCCAGGGCUGUGUGAUCUAUUUGAUCAGUUACUAGUCUUCUUAUGUUUAUGCAAAUAAUAAGACCAAACUAAAACUGGACUUAAUGCAGGCUUUCUAAAAAUGAGAGUAAUCUCGGGGAGCAAAAUUAUAUGCUAAUAAAAACCACAAUACUCAGUUGUGGAUAUUGGACUCCACUACAAUGAACUGUCUUCAAAGUUUUGUUUUUAAGGCUAUGUCUGCACGCCACACAGAACUCAGACCUGAUGACAUCACCAGAGAUGUUCAAACUACAGAUAAUCCAUCAGGUUGUCAUUGCUUGAUGCCAUUCCAACGAAAGCCUUACAUCUGGAAAUCUUCUCAAAUGUACGAUGGACAGAAGGGCUUCAGACAGGUGUGACACACCAGCCUCCAGGGAAGCCGCUCCUCCAAAAUCACCUGGAACACUUUUAUUACUUUUAGAGUACAAUAAGAAUGCCAGCUUGUCUAUCGCGUCAUCCUCUGGACAUUGCUUAUGUCACCUCCCGGGGACACCAGGCUGACCUGGACUUUGCAGAAUCCCUCUUCCCUGCAUGAAGACUCCCCUUCCCGUUCGCUCCUCCUUCCUCAGUCAGACAGGAAGAACCUCUGAGCCUUGGGAUAGGCAGGACUAUGCCCCUUGACAGCAGAAAGCAGUUACAAGAAGAUGGAGAUAUUCACCCAUUUAUCUCCUUGUAAGAUUACAAGGCUUAAGUUCUUGAAGGGAGAGAGUAAUACCACUGUGGUCAGCUAGUUAUUAAUAAUAGGACAGAAGCAAAGGGAAGGUCAGAUAUUAUAGGCUUGUCAUUUGCGCGGUUUCACCAGGAAGCUGCAACUUUGCACUCCCAAGGGAGCCACUGGCCUAUUCCCUGCAUAACACUGGGGAAAGGGAUCCAACGAAGGAAAGACAGAUGCAUGUCCAGUAAAGUUGGGGUGACCUAGGGAAGAUACUUCUGUGUCAGUCACUCUGGAGGACAGA
Myotis daubentonii (Daubenton's bat) is the source of this 3580-nucleotide long non-coding RNA. RefSeq lists it as uncharacterized. NCBI's taxonomy places the organism in Eukaryota, Metazoa, Chordata, Mammalia, Chiroptera, Vespertilionidae. The record is from RefSeq and is a predicted model, not a curated record.